This 666-nucleotide long non-coding RNA is filed under the name Amborella trichopoda. Its description in RNAcentral is "long non-coding RNA (ATRI_LNC004945)". Lineage: Eukaryota; Viridiplantae; Streptophyta; Magnoliopsida; Amborellales; Amborellaceae. The record is from RNAcentral.
ACUUUUUUACUCCUGCAAAUUAAAGAAAUAUACAUUAAAAAUAUAUAUAAUCAGAUUAAACCUUCGAUAUUUAGGGCAUCGCUAAAUACAUACAAAUAACUAAAAAGAAAAAAAAAAUCUUAAAAUCAGCAAACCUAAUUUUAUGCUCUUGCAAAUUUCAUAAUCUUCAUGCUCCUGCAAAUUUCAGAAAAAGAACUCCGUCUUCUUGCUCCUGCAAUUACAGAGAAAAACCCCAUUUCAUUUUCUCUCUCUAACAGAAAAACCCCCUUUCAAUUUCUUUUUCUUUUUUUCUCUCUAAUAGAAAACCCCCUUUCAAUUUCUAUUUCAUUUUCUCUCUCUAAUAGAAAACCCCCUUUCAAUUUCUCUCGCAGAUAAAACCCCCUUUCAAUUUCUCUCUCUAACAUAGAAACCCCAUCUCUCUCUAACAUAGAAAUCCCCUUUCAUUUUCUAAUCCUUUCAGUUCCAGCCCAUCCUCCCCUUUCAGCUCCAGGCAUCUCCUUGCUUUCAAUGGAGCAGCUAUUCAGCUCCAGGCCUCUCUCUGUUCUCAAUGAAGCAACGAUUACCCAUACUCUCCCUUUCAGCUCCAGCCUAUCCUCCCCUUUCAGCUCCAGCCCUCUCGCUAUUUUGAAGGAAACAGAAAUUACCCAUAGUCUUCAGGCAUAUCCC